UAUUGGCGAUAACAAUUUUAGUAUAUUCCAUACAAAAUACAACAUUCAAAUAUAUUUCUUUAUCUAAAUACAUAAAAAAAAUUAUAUAAAUUAUGGAAACAAGCAAGUGGCAGUUGACUAGAAUUAAACUCUAAAUUAUUCAUAAUUACAUUUUA
Molecule: long non-coding RNA, 155 nt
Organism: Maniola jurtina (meadow brown)
Lineage: Eukaryota; Metazoa; Arthropoda; Insecta; Lepidoptera; Nymphalidae
Exons: 3
Source: RefSeq, a predicted model, not a curated record